RNAcentral lists this ribosomal RNA (489 nucleotides) under uncultured bacterium. RNAcentral's name for it is "partial 16S ribosomal RNA". It matches the Rfam family "Bacterial small subunit ribosomal RNA", at positions 29 to 507 of the family's 1533-position model. The record is from RNAcentral.
AUGAACGCUAGCUACAGGCUUAACACAUGCAAGUCGCAGGGUAACAUGAGGAAAGCUUGCUUUCCUUGAUGACGACUGGCGCACGGGUGAGUAACGCGUAUCCAACCUUCCCAUAACUACGGGAUAACCCGUUGAAAGACGGCCUAAUACCGUAUGAUAUCGUUUGCUGACAUCAAAUAACGAUUAAAGGUUUAGCGGUUAUGGAUGGGGAUGCGUCUGAUUAGCUUGUUGGCGGGGUAACGGCCCACCAAGGCGACGAUCAGUAGGGGUUCUGAGAGGAAGGUCCCCCACAUUGGAACUGAGACACGGUCCAAACUCCUACGGGAGGCAGCAGUGAGGAAUAUUGGUCAAUGGGCGAGAGCCUGAACCAGCCAAGUAGCGUGCAGGACGACGGCCCUAUGGGUUGUAAACUGCUUUUAUGUGGGGAUAAAGUGCGUGACGUGUCAUGCAUUGCAGGUACCACAUGAAUAAGAACCGGCUAAUUCCGUG